UUCUAUUUCUUGGUAAUUCGGUUUGUGAAAUGACUAUUAAUUACAAACACAGCAUCAUCAACGGUGAUUGCAAGAACUACUGCCAUCCCUGCGGUUUUUCCUCUUGGUAAAUGCGUUCUGGUCGUGACCAAUGGUGGUCUCCCAAAUCGGCCGGGAAUAAGGCUAUUGUUGCAGAACAAAACGCCGCAACCACUGCUGUGGUAAAUAUGUUCCAGCAGAACUGCCCACCGCCGUCGGUGUAAUGAUUUCGAUAGCUGAACAAACGCCAUCUCCUGGGCAUUCCCACAGCUUGUCGACACUAGCUAUUAUAUCACGUGUGAAUGUAACUGGGGCUUAAUUUGGUUAUUAACAGUGCAAUAGUACCAUGUCAUUGGCAAAAACACUAAGGGCCAAUUUCACAGUGCGUUAGUUAACUCCGAAUCGAC
This is a long non-coding RNA of Rhagoletis pomonella (apple maggot), 425 nucleotides long. RefSeq lists it as uncharacterized. The record is from RefSeq and is a predicted model, not a curated record. The transcript is spliced from 3 exons. Lineage: Eukaryota; Metazoa; Arthropoda; Insecta; Diptera; Tephritidae.